RNAcentral lists this long non-coding RNA (233 nucleotides) under Pelobates cultripes (western spadefoot toad). Lineage: Eukaryota; Metazoa; Chordata; Amphibia; Anura; Pelobatidae. The record is from RNAcentral.
GUUUCAGAGAAACUGCUAUAAUUAUGAAUGGGUUAAGCCUUCCCCCUAAUCCUCUAGUGGCUGUCUCAUUGACAGCCACUAGAGGCGCUUGCGUGCUUCUCACUGUGAUUUUCACAGUGAGAGCACGCCAGCGUCCAUAGGAAAGCAUUGUAAAUGCUUUCCUAUGCGACGGGCUGAAUGCGCGCGCAGCUCUUGCCGCGCGUGCGCAUUCAGCCGGCGGGGCGGAGAGGAGG